RNAcentral lists this ribosomal RNA (471 nucleotides) under uncultured bacterium. RNAcentral describes it as "partial 16S ribosomal RNA". It matches the Rfam family "Bacterial small subunit ribosomal RNA", at positions 331 to 794 of the family's 1533-position model. The record is from RNAcentral.
CCAGACUCCUACGGGAGGCAGCAGUAGGGAAUUUUCGUCAAUGGGCGCAAGCCUGAACGAGCGAUGCCGCGUGAGUGAAGAAGGCCUUCGGGUCGUAAAGCUCUGUUGCGGGGGAAAAAAGGCAGCAUCAGGAAAUGGGUGCUGACUGAUGGUGCCCCGCCAGAAAGUCACGGCUAACUACGUGCCAGCAGCCGCGGUAAUACGUAGGUGGCGAGCGUUAUCCGGAAUGAUUGGGCGUAAAGGGUGCGCAGGCGGUCCUGCAAGUCUGGGGUGAAACGCAUGGGCUCAACUCAUGCAUGGCUUUGGAAACUGGAGGACUGGAGAGCAGGAGAGGGCGGUGGAACUCCAUGUGUAGCGGUAAAAUGCGUAGAUAUAUGGAAGAACACCAGUGGCGAAGGCGACUUUCUGGACUGUACCUGACGCUGAGGCGCGAAAGCGUGGGUAGCGAACGGGAUUAGAUACCCCCGUACA